RNAcentral lists this ribosomal RNA (253 nucleotides) under uncultured bacterium. Its description in RNAcentral is "partial 16S ribosomal RNA". It matches the Rfam family "Bacterial small subunit ribosomal RNA", at positions 524 to 776 of the family's 1533-position model. The record is from RNAcentral.
UACGUAGGGUGCAAGCGUUAUCCGGAUUUAUUGGGCGUAAAGGGCUCGUAGGCGGUUCGUCGCGUCCGGUGUGAAAGUCCAUCGCUUAACGGUGGAUCCGCGCCGGGUACGGGCGGGCUUGAGUGCGGUAGGGGAGACUGGAAUUCCUGGUGUAACGGUGGAAUGUGUAGAUAUCGGGAAGAACACCAAUGGCGAAGGCAGGUCUCUGGGCCGUUACUGACGCUGAGGAGCGAAAGCGUGGGGAGCGAACAGG